RNAcentral lists this long non-coding RNA (667 nucleotides) under Manacus vitellinus (golden-collared manakin). RNAcentral's name for it is "lncRNA (ENSMVIG00005011933.1)". The record is from RNAcentral. Lineage: Eukaryota; Metazoa; Chordata; Aves; Passeriformes; Pipridae.
AAUGCAUUAAAGAUGUGAUGCCUUUUCCUUUGAAGAAGGCUCUUGUUAAAUUUCACUAGACAUCAGUCGGUCUCGGGAGCUGCAUCCCCACUUCGCCUCCUUGAUUCUCCAAACUCCACAGGUGGAACAGAGGGAAGUGAAUGUGUGUUUGCAAAUGUGGGCACAAAGUGAGGUUCUGGUUGCUGAGGAAGCAAGUGCUAAUGAUCCUGCUUUAGACUAAUUACAACCUACAAGGACUGCAGGGUGGGAACUCAUUAAUUUCUUCGCUGGUGUUGGUCUCUGUGUCUCUUCCAGUGUUGGCAAGAAUCAUGCUUUUUGUUCUCAUUUAGGUCUUUCAAUCUGGAUAAGUUCUACGGUUUUGGUUUUGUUUUGAGUUUCCUAAUUUCCAGGAAACAACUAAAGUGAAAUCAGAAGGGAAAAAUUCAUCCUUCCUUCCUGAUGAGUGGAGCUGGGAGUGUGAAUGAACUUUGAUGAGCCCCAACAUGAGGAGCAGUGGCUUCCCUGGGGACUGAAAGCUCACACUGCUGCAGCUGAGACCAGCCUCAGUAUUUACCACAACCAGACUGCCCCCAUUCUGUGGUUCCCUGCUGGCAGAGUGAUGUUCUGCAGAAGACCCUUCCCAGGAAAAUAUUUGGGCUCCUCAGCCUGCAUUGCCCCAGUGGGGUGA